This 1790-nucleotide long non-coding RNA is filed under the name Salmo salar (Atlantic salmon). Its description in RNAcentral is "lncRNA (ENSSSAG00000097100.1)". Lineage: Eukaryota; Metazoa; Chordata; Actinopteri; Salmoniformes; Salmonidae. The record is from RNAcentral.
UCCUCCAGCUGGUAUAAUAAUAACUCCACUACCAUAGACGUCCCCUCCUCCAGCUGGUAUAAUAAUAACUCCACUACCAUAGACGUCCCCUCCUCCAGCUGGUAUAAUAAUAACUCCACUACCAUAGACGUCCCCUCCUCCAGCUCCCACAGAGUAGGAGUGUAUCUGGACUGGCCAGCCGGCACUCUGUCCUUCUAUAGAGCCUCCUCUGACACACUGACCCACCUGAUCACAUUCACCUCCACAUUCACUGAGCCCCUCUAUCCAGGAUUUGGGAUUUAUAAUGUUGGCGACUCAGUGUCCCUGAAAUAAUAACUGGACACACACACACACACACACACUGGACACACACACACACUGGACACACACAUAAAUACACACUGGACACACACACUCAACACACACACACUGGACACACACAUACACACUGGACACACACACACUGAACACACACACACUGGACACACACAUACACACACACACUCACUGGACACACAUACACACACACACUCACUGGACACACAUACACACACACACUCACUGGACACACACACACACACACACUGAAACACACACACACUGGCCACCCACUUAAACUGGACAAACACAAACACUGGAAUGACAUACACACACUCACUCAAACGGACAUACAAACGCACUGGAAACACACUGGACACACACACACACUGGACACACACAAACACACUGGACACACACACACACACACACACACACUGGACCCACUGGAUAAACACACACACACUGGAUAAACACACACACACUGGAUAAACACACACACACUGGACACACACACUCACUGGACACACACGCUUGACACACACACACGCUUGACACACACACUGGAUACACACACACAAACACACUGGAUACACACACACACACACACACACACACACACACACACACACUGGAUACACACACACACACACACACACUGGAUACACACACACACACACACACACUGGAUACACACACACACACACACACACACAAACACUGGAUACACACACACACAAACACACUGGAUACACACACACACACACACACACACACACACACACCCUGGAUACACACACACACACACACACACUGGAUACACACACACACACACACAAACACACUGGAUACACACACACACACACACACACACACACAAACACACUGAACACACACACACACACACUGGAUACACACACACACACACACUGGAUACACACACACACACACACAAACACACUGGAUACACACACACACACACACACACACACAACACACUGGAUACACACACACACACAAACACACUGAACACACACACACUGACACACAUAAACACUGAAACACACAAUUGACAAACACACACUGGACACUCACACGUGUUAAAUCAGUUUCUGGACCACAGGUUCUAGAACAGCUUCUAUCCCAGUUCUAUCUGCCUGUUAAAUCAGUUUCUGGACCACAGGUUCUAGAACAGCUUCUAUCCCAGUUCUAUCUGCCUGUUAAAUCAGUUUCUGGACCACAGGUUCUAGAACAGCUUCUAUCCCAGUUCUACCUGCCUGUUAAAUCAGUUUCUGGACCACAGGUUCUAGAACAGCUUCUAUCCCAGUUCUAUCUGCCUGUUAAAUCAUCAACCUAAACUGUUGUCAUCAGACUAUUACAACAUGACUGAACUUUUGGUUCCUUUUCUGAUCUUUUACCACUUUGCAUUUUUUAUGAUAUAUUUUACUGUUUGUGUUUGUACCACAGGAGGUUGGUGGGACCUUAUUUAGGGA